UCGCUCUGCGAGGGUGGGGAGCUCUUCGACCAGAUCAUUGUGAAGGGGCACUACACGAAGCGCGCCGCCACUGUGGUCACCAAAACCAUCAUCGAGAUUGUGUGGAUCUGCCAUAAGCAUGAAGUGAUGCACCGGGACCUCAAACCAGAGAAUUUCUUGUUUGCAAACAUGAAAGAAACGGCUGCACUGAAAGCAAUUAUUUUUGGCAUGUUUAUUAUGUUUUUGACUCCAAGUAUAGUCAAUCCUAAUAUCCUAUAUAGCUAUCGUUGA
Molecule: ribosomal RNA, 270 nt
Filed under: Triticum aestivum (bread wheat)
Lineage: Eukaryota; Viridiplantae; Streptophyta; Magnoliopsida; Poales; Poaceae
Description: partial small subunit ribosomal RNA
Source: RNAcentral